UGUAUCUUUUCAAGCUGGCCUUACACUUGUUGCUCAUUUGAUCUUCGCAUCCUCUCUGGAAGUGGGCAUGGGUAAACUGAGGCCCAGAGAGGUAAAGUGUCUUAUUCAAGCAGGUUGGGGAAGGUCAGGGGUUUGUCCCUGGUCUGUUUUAGGAGAUGUUAAUCCUGACAACUCGGCACCAUAAUCUUGGGUGGGGAUGUAUUUGCGGGAGGAUCCCAAUCUAAUCAAGGCAGGAAAAGUAAAGGAUUAGCAACACCACCUGGUUCUGCCCAGCCCACCCCAGCCCACAGCACUGAGUUUAGCCCUGUAGGCCAGGAGGAUGCUCUUGUCUCCAUUGAAAGGAAAAGGAAAAUCUUCACCAUUUCCAUAGGGGCCCAGAGAGGUUAAGUGACUUACAGCAGUUCACACAGCAAAGUAUCUAUGAGGCAGAGGCCCUCCACCCACAGCCAGACGUCUCCUUCUGGAGAGAACCCCCUCCCUGAGUCCUGAAAUUUUGGGGACCUGUCCUGGGGUGGCUUCACCCACUGGGCCAGGAGAUUCUGAUUAUGGAGAAAUGGCCUUCCCUCCACCCCUGCCCCUGCCCAGCCUGGGAACCCUACACCGGGGGUAAUUGAGAUCAGAUGCGGCUGUGACCCACGGAAUGCUCCCCUGGAACCUGGAAGCAUUUAUUGUCUGGAAGAGAAUCCAGGGCCCGUUCUAGGCCCCCUCCCUCCCCGGCUGUCUCCUCCCCGGGCGGCUGAAGGUGGAUAGGGGCCCUGAGGAGCCUCUGGUGCUGGCCGGGGUUGGGCAGCCGGCCUUGAUGAAUCCGCUGCUGAAAGCACCUUCCUGGCUUCCUCCUUCCUGGGGAUACGGUUACAGGGGGCCAGACUUCCUGUCAAGCCCGCCCAGCUCUGCAGGGAUGGUUGGUAAUAGUACCUACUUCAGAGGGUUAUUGUGAAGAUAAAAUGAAGGAUCAUGGAUGAAGCUGCUAUAAGUUGAGGUCAACUACAAGGUUAGAGGGCACAGCCUGCACACGAGACCGCCCUUGCUUCUGACACCACCUGCAAGUUCCGGAGGUGCCCCAAACUGCCUUCAGGUUUGAUAAUUCACUGGAAAGACUCACAAAACUCACUGAAAGCUCUUAUACUCCCCUUAUGGUUUAUUAUUGGGAAAGGAUACAGAUGAGGAUCUGACAAAGGAAGGGCAGAGUUACACAGGUCACACAGCGAGCGAGGGCUGAGGUGGGACUGGCGCCCAUUGGAGGAACUUGCACGCAUAGCCGCUUGAAGCAAUCGUGCUGCCAGGAAGCGUGCUUGCAGUCAGCCCAUCUCAGAGGGGUCAUGGGGCAGACGAAGUGACCUUUGUGUGCGGCCCUGGAGGCAGCAGCAGGGCCAGCGGGGAAGCCAGGGGAUCAGAUUUCAGUUUGAUGUGUCCAAAGACCUUCCAAGAAUGAAGAUGCUUGUGGGAUGGGUGUGAAUGAGCUCCAGCCCUGCAAGGUCUGCCACAGCCAUGGGGACCUGGCCCGUCUGGAGGUCCAGGCGGGGCUGGAGAGGGGGUGGAAGCAGGGGCUCAGAUCCCCUCUCCCUGUCUGCCUCCAGCUCUGCUGGGCCCAGGGUGGGGUCGGGAGAGGGGUGCUGGGGAAAGGGGAAGGAAGAGCCAGCUCAGGUGGAGGUCAGCAGAGGAGGAGCAGGAGGGCUCUGCCUUCCCAAGGCCUCUGGGAAGGAGCUGGGCUUCAGGCCAAGCUGUGGGUUCUAAGGAACAGAUCCAUUCCAGGGUGGGGACAAUUCAUGCAAGGAGUGAACUGCUUGAAUCUGGCCUCUCGGGCAGAUGGGGCAGGCUCAGGGCCCCGAAAGAACUACAACCAGAGAGACUGCUGGGGAAGGACCCAUGUCAAGGGCUAGAAGCCCUGGAUUCCAGCAGCUUCUCUACUGUGUGUUCUUGGGCAAAUUCCUUCCCUAUCUGGGCCGUAGUCUCCUGAUCUGUUACAUGGAGAUUUGGGCCCAAUAACUUGAGGCCCUUCUCCAGAGAGGCAGGAAGCAGGGGCUGGAGAAGGGGUGGGCGGUACUGGAGGUCAGGACAGGACUGGUCUCGGGCAUCUGUCCAUGGGCCUAGAAACUAGUUCCUCCCCCACCCCACCCCCUCCCAGCUUCUCCUCUGUCCACCACACAGACCACAGCCUUCUCUUCUCCUUUCUAUUUUCAGACAUCCUAGAGUUCUGAGGAAGGCCCAGGCUGGCGCCUGCCCAGGAACUCUGGGCUGCUGAGGGAGGCAUCUCCAGAGCAGUUAGUCAGUUUGAUGGGCUUAGGAGCAGACAGCUGGGGCCUCACUCUGGGCUGGAGAAGGGCCUGGCCCUGGCCCAGCCCAGACUGACCAGGAGGCUGGUGGUGGGUAGAGAAAGAGGGAAUGCAGUCCUGGCCCUUGGCCGAAGGCUCACCCUGACCAAGACCAGGACAGUCUUGGGGGCCGUGCCUGGCUGGGCAGAGAGCCUGCAGCCAAGGGCUCCAUGGCUGGAUUCUGGAUUCAGUCUGGCUAAAAUGCCAGCCCUGUCCCGCACAGGCAGGCGGCUCUAUUGCAGGAGGCCAAACCCUGGCUUUCUCCUGUCCCCUGGGCCUGCAAGGGCUUCCCUCUUGUGCUCUCAGAAUUGUGCUUCCAUGACAUGUUGGGUCCUGACCUCAAGAGGUGGGAAGGGUCAGGGUCAGUGGUGAAUAACCCUCACCAGAGGGGUACCCAGAAUGCUUCUUGUCUCCCCCCCUCCCUGCCCCAAAGAGAAUACAUUUUACUGUGAGAGAGCAGACAGACGGAGACAGGGAGGCCCUGCUCUGAGAUGCUGGGGCCAGGCAGGUAUUUCUCUUGGUAAUGGACUUGGCUUCUGGAGGCAGGUGUUCUUCCAGCCACCUCCCAGACACCCAGACCUUCCUGCUCCAGGUUCAGAGUCUGGAGCCUCCACCUCAGGAAGGCCUCCUCCUCACUGCACGAACUCUGACCUUGGGCAAGCUCCCUACAGUCUGUGGGGCUCAGUUUCCCCAUCCAUAAAAUGAGAAAAUUGGCCUAAAUUCCCUCCCAGCUCUGGUGUGCAUCGUUCCGAUUUCCUGAUGGGGGAAACAUUUUUAACUCCCGGGCUCAGGAGGCCUCAGGCCUGGUUUAUCAGCCUCAGGGUGGUUCUCAGGCGGUGACUGUUGUUCUCCUGGGAGGGAAGAGGUGGAAGGGAUGAAGCGAUGGAGGCAUCUCUGUUCAGCAGAGAUAACUCCCCAGCCAGAGGUUGGAACAUGAAGCAGAUUGUGCCAGAAAUAGAGACAGAGAUGGAGAGGGACAGAGUCAGCAGGAGGGAGAUAGCAACUCAGAGAUACUGAAAGAGGAAGAGAGCAUCCAAGACAGAGAUGAAGAGACAGGGCCACCACAGACAGAGGAAGAGAUAACAGACUGCCAGGGAGAGAGAAAGAGAGAAACAGAGAGAUGAGACCCAGACUGAGCGAUAAAGGCAGGAAAAGGAGGGCGGGACCAGAAUACAGUAGAAUGAGACUAGUUGGAUGGGGCAGAAAAGCCAGCAACUGAGCCUUCUGCUCUCUGGGGGUCAAGCUAGAUCCUGCUUUUGCCUGCAAGGUGCCUGGAUCUGGUGGUCCUUCUUCUGCUCAUCAAAUUUCCUCUGGGACUGGGACCCUCCUGCUCCACAACCUAAAUGUCCUCCAGACCUCACCUCCCUGGGGGUAGUGUGUGCAGAGAUGAGAGGCCGCACAGGCUUCCUGGCCUUGGGGUUUUGUUAAAGGGUAGGGGUAAAUGGUGAGGAGUGAGAGAUGAAUGAAGGUUAUUACCUUUAGGGGGAUGUGGUUAGGGUUGGCAGAAAAGCAAGGAGGUGGAAAGUUCAAAGAAAAAUUUCCCCAUCUUUCUUUAGCUCAGGCAUUAACUCUGUGUCUCACUAUUUAGGGAAUGAUAGGGAAUCUGGCAGUGGGGGGAGGGUUCCAGGUACUUAGUGUUGGAUGGAAGGAGGAGAUACAAAAGGAGAAGAACUGAGCUGGGCAAGGAUGGGUUUAGUUGAGUUGAAAUAUGUUGAACGUAGUUGGUUUGGUUGGGGUGGAGUGGAGUUGUGUUACGUCAUGUUGGGGUGGGUUGGGUUGAAUAAAAUUUAGUUUUGUUGGAUUGACUGGAGUUGGAUUUGGGAGCGGAGCUGAGUUGAACUGAUUUGACUUGAAUUUAGUAGAGUUAAGCUGAGUUGGGUUGUGUUGAGAAAGGUUGGGUUGGGUUGAAUGAAGUGGAGUUGAGUUUGAUUGAAUUGAGUUAGGUUGGAUUUAAGUAGGUUGAGUGGAAAUAAGCUGGGUUGACUUGAGUUGGAUUUAGGAAGAUUGAGGUGGGUUGAGUUGAGUUAAUUAGGUUGAGUUGCUCUGGAGUAAGAAAGCUAUAAGACUCCAAGAAGACAGGAGUAAGGAGGAGCCCAGAUCCAGCAUAAUCCAAAUUAUGCUGCCAGGGAAGGAAGAUGGAGUGAGAUACCAACAAGGAGAGACCUGCUGAGGGGAGAUGUCCAAGGCUGAGAUCUAAACAGAUCUUUGAGUCGGAGAUGGUUUGGCAAACAAAUGAUCUGUUUCAGUGUUUCUCUGUCUUUUUACCACUCUACACUUCCACUGGUAUGGAGGUUCAGUAUGGCUGUGAUUCGCAUCUUGUGAUGGGAAGAAGUGAAUAUUAGAAUCUCAUUUGCUCAUUUGCAUGUGCUCACGUGUGUGUGUGUGUGUGUGUGUGUGGAAGGGGAGUGUAAUUCGAAAAAAUACCUAAAGGAGAUUCUUAGAUGCCUCCCAAGCUAGAGCAUGCUCCAGGUGAGAAUCAAUAUCCCACAGAAUCUUUUUUAUUCCCCAAAUUUAUUAAAAUGUAUUUGACAUGUUACAGUGUGUAAGUUUAAGGUGUACAACGUGAUGAUUUGAUACACAUACAUAUUGCAAAAUGAUUACCACAACGUUAGUUAACACAUCCCUUACCUCACAGUUACCGUUUAUGUGUGUGUUGAGAACAUUUAAGAUCUGCUCUCUUAGCAACUUUCAAGUAUACGAUAUGGUACUAUUAACAAUAGUCCCCGUGCUGUAUAUUUGAUCCUCAGAACUUUCUCAUCUCAGAGUUGGAAGUUUGUCCACUUUGACCACCAUCACCCAUUUUCUUUAACCCCCAGCCCCUGGCAACCACCAAUCUACCCUUUCUAUGUG
Molecule: long non-coding RNA, 5162 nt
Organism: Equus caballus (horse)
Lineage: Eukaryota; Metazoa; Chordata; Mammalia; Perissodactyla; Equidae
Source: Ensembl